CAUUAGCUCAGUUGGUAGAGCAUCUGACUUUUAAUCAGAGGGUCGCAGGUUCGAGCCCUGCAUG
Molecule: transfer RNA, 64 nt
Filed under: Exiguobacterium chiriqhucha RW-2
Lineage: Bacteria; Bacillati; Bacillota; Bacilli; Caryophanales
Description: tRNA-Lys
Rfam family: tRNA
About the family: Transfer RNA (tRNA) molecules are approximately 80 nucleotides in length. Their secondary structure includes four short double-helical elements and three loops (D, anti-codon, and T loops).
Source: RNAcentral